This 309-nucleotide ribosomal RNA is filed under the name Triticum aestivum (bread wheat). RNAcentral describes it as "partial small subunit ribosomal RNA". The record is from RNAcentral. Lineage: Eukaryota; Viridiplantae; Streptophyta; Magnoliopsida; Poales; Poaceae.
AUGGUCCUCUUCUGGGCCUGCGCUCAUCGACCGGCACUUCGGUGCUGCCGUGCUCCUGGUCCUGCGCGCAGCAACGCUGUUGUAGGUCGCGCUGCUCCGCAUAGGUGUGCUCUGCAUCGCAGCUCAGAGACUUGCGCCGCCCGCUGUUGUAUGUGUGUGCGAGAAGAAGUCGAGACGGAGGGUCGAGGGGAUUUGGAGUUGGGCUGCGACUGUACAAUGGCAUUGAAUGCUGAAGUGUUGCAUGCCUGCGCCAUAUGUAGAGGUAAAAGCUGGCGGCGCCGGCGGCUGCAUCUAGGGCUGCGUGAGUAG